GUGCUGAGCGGCAAGGCACAGCCGCGGGAAGGUAAACGCAGAGCCGAGGGGCCGGCCAGCACCUGGCCCUGACCGCCCCCAGGCCACGCAUUCCUUGUUACUUCACCUCCUGGCGGAUGGCAACCGUCCCAGCUUCGUGGACUGUCAGGGUCACCGAGAGUCCAGGGUGGUGGGAGUCCCCCACACGAGCCACUGGCACACUCCCUGAAGCAGAAGCCACGGCGCCAAAGCUGUGGGCUCAGGGAACUUGCCCAUUACCUGGCAGCCCCGCAUCUGUGCCAAAAUAAGACACAACUCAGCCCAGCGGAGUGGACAGUGUCUGCGGCCAGCUCUGGGAUCCAGGGCCAGCUGAUGCUGGGAACAGCCGUCCUUGCCCUGUGCCUCUCCACACUGCGAGAGCCCCUGCAGCCCAGAGGGGCUCCACCUCCCCUGCAAUGGGGCUCAAAAGACAAUCCUUCUACGGGGCUGGCAGGACAGACGUGACAGGAACAACGAUGGCCUGCUCCUCCCGGAAGGUGGCUUCAAGAGCACUCAGGAGGUGACAGAUGCUGUCAAGACCGGCCCAGGGAAGGCACAGGGCAGGUUUCCCAGCACCCACCACGCGCCAGCGAGCACAGAGCCUUCGCCUGAACCAUCCAGGCACCGCGCCCUCCCCCUCCGCACACACAGGAGCCCAGCUGCGAUUCCCUCUGCUCCACAGGAGAUGCAGCGAGCACCAAAGAGCCUUCCUCCAGGAUUAAGCCUGAUGCAGAAGUGGUUACACUGACUACGGCAAGCCUCCUCAACGUGAAAACCCGGAGGACGAAAGCCAUUCGUGGAGACCCGCUGCUGCUGCGCGAGGCUUAAGUCUAUUUUCUCCUCAUGAUCUCAGUAUUUUCACGUCUCUAGUUUGCUCUACCCUAACAGUAAGAGCAGAACACACAUAACAUACAAAAUGUGUGUGACUGGCUUUAUGUGGUCAGGAAGGCUCUGGUCAACAGAAGGCUGUUAGUUAAGUUUGGGGAAAGUUAAAAGUUCUACACAAAUUUUCAACUGCACAGGAGGCUGGCGCCCCCAACCCCUGUAUUGUUCAAGGGUUUGCUGUAAUUUGUAUUAAAACACCAAGCCCCCUUACACCUGGGUGAGUCUCUCUCCCUGAACAGAUGUGACAACAUUACCCUCCGAAGACUCCCAGAGAGAAAGAGAACACUUCAAAUUCAGAUUUGUCUUCCACAGUAUGUUGAUAGAACAGGCCUUUACGUACGUCCUGGGCAAAUGCUCCUCUCCUUAUGUAAGUUAAUAACUCCACCAACCACUAGUUUGUGUAAUGACCAUUUAAAUAUCGAAUGGUGCCCAAGGCCCCUGAGAAGGGAUGUGAUUCAGCCCCUCCCCUCACGCAGGCACGUGGCCUCAGAGGCCCAGGAGGAGGAAGACAGGAAGUCAGCAGCAGGGUGGAAAAGGGGAGGGAAGCCCUUCAAGGGAAGCUCUCCCAGAACCUUCAAUCCCAGCUCCAAUUCCAAAGACAGGAACACACUCAUGACUGACAGGAUCAAACACCAAAGGCCUGUUUGCCUUGAGGGGGACACUGGGGAGGGUGGGGAAGGGGGAGUGAGGAGGAGCUGGAAGCAGCAGUCCUGUGUGGCACCAGGGGCUUGCUCCCACGUCGGCCCUGGGCACAGCCCCGCAUGGUGAUGAGGUGUGGCCUGCCUGCAGCACACGGCCAUGCUCCAGAUACCUUAGCUUUAUCUGAAGAGUUCUUUUGUUUGUUUGUUUGUUUGUUUGAGACAGCUGUGUUGCCCAGGCUGGAGUGCAGCGGUGUGAUCACAGCUCACUGUAGCCUCCGCCUCCUGGGCUCAAGCUAUCCGCUCACUUGAGCCUCCCAAGUAGCUGGGAGUACAGGCCCGUGGCACCAUGCCCGGCUAAUUUCUGUACUUUCUGUGGAGUCGGGUUUCGCCAUGCUUCCGAGGCUGGUGUCUGAAGGAUGCUUUACGGCAACCCCUGCCUUUUCCAGCUGAGCCCUGCCGGCUGUUGUGCGCUCCGUGGAAAGGGAGAAGCACGGUCUCCAGCGGCUGCGUCAGGAGUGGUGCCUUGUGCACACCUCACAGGGAGAGAAGUCUCCAACGGACUGAGCGGAGGAAAAAAGAAAAAAGGAGAAAAGGAAAAAGAGCUGCAUACCUGGCAGGCCUACUGUGUGCAAAGCCCUUGAGUGACACACCCUAUGACCCACAGCACUGUGGCAAUCCCAGACACAUGCUUGGUCACUGGGCUGUGGAACAUACAGGAGCCCCGUGCUCCGGAACACGGACCACCCGACAGGAGCACGGACACAGCAGUCGGGGCGACGUGGGUGCCUCACAGAAGAGGGAAAAAGCCAGGAGGGCGGCACGUGGGCGCAAAGUUCUCAGCUUCGUUAGUCAUCAAGAAAAUGCAAACUAAAACCAAGGUAAGUGUGAGGGUUACUACUGAGUUUCAACUUGACUGGACUAAAGGAUGUGUAACUGUUCCUGGGAGCAUCUUGAGGAAGCUGCCAAAGGAGAUUCACAUUGAGUCAGUGGACGGGGAGAGGCCGACGAACCCUCCAUCUGGGGGGGCAUGAUCUCAUCAGCUGCCAGCACGGCAGAUCUGCGGAAGCACUGGACUGGCUGAGUCUUCCAGCCUCCAUCUUUCUUCCAUGCUGGAUACUUCCUGCCCUCGAACAUCAGACUCCAAGUGCUUCAGCUUUUGGGUUCUUGGACCUACACCAGUGGUUUGCCAGGGGUUCUUGGGCCUUCGGCCACAGACUGAAAGCUGCGCUGUUGGCUUCCCGACUUUUGAGGUUUGGGGACUCGGACUGGCUUCCUGGCUCCUCAGCUUGCCAACAGCCUAUUGUGGGACUUCACCUCAUGACUGUGUGAGUCAAUACUCCCAAUAAACUCCCCUCCAUAUAUACAUUUAUCCUAUUAGUGCUGUCCCUCUAGAGAACCCUGACUCGUACACACAAGUACUGGUGAAGGGGUGGAGCAAAGGAAACUAGUCCACUCUCAUCAGGGCCAACUCACGCACCUGGCAAUCUCUACUCAUACUGAACACAAGUAUGCCCUAUAGCCCAGCAAUGCCAUUCUGGACAUACACGUCCAAAAGAAAAGCAGGUGCACAGACACAAGAGACACGCGUGAAGUGCUUCAUAGCAGUGGGGUUUGCGGCGUGCCACUAGGAUGUGAGGGUGGAACACUACACAGCAGAGGAGGCAAACACAUCACAACGUAAGUCAAUCUCACAAAUAAUGUUGAGGAACCCUGUCUCUACGAAAAGUUUAAAAAUUAGCCGGGCACUGUGGUGCAUGCUGGCGGUCUCAGCUACCAGGGAGGCUAAGGCAGGAGGAUCACUUGAGCCCAGGAGGUCGAGGCUGCGGUAAGCCAAGAUCAUGCCACUGUACUCCAGCCCGGGCGUCAGAGCCAGACCCUCUCCCCUCUCCCCUCUCCUCUCUCUCUCUCUCUCUCUCACACACACACACACACACACACACAGAGUAAUAAUGUUGGGGACAAAAUACAUGAUACAUUUACAUAAAUUUCUGAAAAUAGCAACUACAGUACUUAGGGAUGCAUACUUAGUUGACAAGACAUCCGCGAAGCGUGGAAAAUGGCUGCCUGGCGGAUGGAAUUGGAAGGGACGGUGAAACGGGUUCUAAGUGAAGGCUGCGGAGGCGUUUGCUUUGUGGUCUGCUAAGUUGUACAUUUUUACUGGGUGGACGUUUGGGUUCUCAGCUGAAGCAGUCUUUCAGAAGGUGACAGAGAUAAAGGCCACACUAUGUCCUUGCAAGGCCUCAGAGGUGUCACUGACCUUUUGCUGCAGGACCUGUUCUUCUCAGGGGUCUUGGCCUCCUAGAGGAAGGAGGGCCCCAUCGCCCUGCUAGGCCCUACUGGGACCCUCAAGGGCAUGAGCAUGACGACGGAGCAGCUUCAGGCUUCCCAGCAUGUCGGGCAGGCCUAGCCAUGCCCAAUACACACUGCAGGGCACCCACUGCAGAGUGCAACAGGGAGCUUGGAGCCUGACAAGGAGACACACAGCUCUGUGAAGACGAAGGGGAGGAGGAGCAAGGAAAAUGCUUCUUUUACACAGAAGGCGCCAAGAUACAAACUAAAUGUGAUGAAGACAAAGAAAAGCAGGCGUGUGUGUUAAAGGUACAAUUGCACAGCUAAAAAUAAUCAUGGCCGUAAGGCAGGGACGGCAGAUGGAGGGUGACUCAGCAGAUUUCCUCCAAGGCUUGCGAGGGUGGAAAUAAACACACGGAAGUGACCAGCAGAGAGAAACACGCAGGGAAGAGGAAGGUUAGAAAGGUCUGGGGUGUCACGCACCGUUGCUGGGAAUGCAGAGGAGGACGGUCUGCAGAAGGGGACGCAGCCACCGCCCCCCCCACCCCGCUGCAGAAGGUGCACACCACUCAGCAACCACCCACCCACUGCUCAAUCUACCCCCAAAUUACACAAAUAGGGCCAGGCACGGUGGCUCACCCCUGUGGUCCCAGCUACUCAGGAGGCCAAGGCAGGGGGGUCAUUUGGGCCCAAGAGUUUGAGACCCGGGCAAUGUAGGGAAACCUCAUCUUUACAAAAAUAUCAAAAAAUUAAUCAGUCGAGGUGGCACGCACCUGUAAUCCCAGCUCCUUGGGAGCCUGAGGCAGGAAGACCCCUUGGGCCCAGGAGGUCGAGGCUGCAGUGAGCUAAGAUUGCACCACUGCACUCCAACCUUGGUGACAGAGCAAGACCCUGUGUGAAAAAAACCCAAACCCCAAACCAAAAAAACACAACCGGGGCAUGAAAAAGUGCUUGGCCCAGAGCAGUGCCCCAAAGCAUCUCCUAAGAAAGGGGCUUAACACAAAGCCUGCCCGCCAGGGGCUGCUGGUGGCAUCCGGGCACAUCUGCACGUGGGGCUGACAGGACUAAGGAGGUUCCACAGACACACGACCAGGCGGAGACGCAGAGAAAAGCAGGUACAGCAAGAAGUCCACUGGGCAAUGCAGAGGUGGGGAAUGCAGAGGGGGAAUGCAGAGGUGGGGAAUGCAGAGGUGGGGAAUGCAGAGGUGGGAAAUGCAGAGGUGGGGAAUGCAGAGGUUGGAAAUGCAGAGGUGGGGAAUGCAGAGGUUGGAAAUGCAGAGGGCACCUACACUUCUGAUGACAGCGAAAUAUGUAAGGCUGGCUCAACCAUCAAUCAGUCAACGUCACCCAGCAUGCCAACAAGCUAAAGAAGAAACACCACAUAAUCACAACUGGUACAGAAAAUCAUUUGAUAAAAUUCAAAACUCACGAUAAAAAUUCCUAGGAAAACAGGAGUGUGGAGAAACAUCCUCAACACGAUAAAGGCCAACUACCAAGAACUCAAGGCUGACAUGAUCAAGAGUGACGUGCUGAGGGCUGCAGAUGGAAUGGCAUACAGGGCAGAAAGGAAGAAAUGGAAUAAAACUGUCUCUCUCUGAAGAUGGUGUAAGUGUCCAUGUCGAAAAUCACAAGGAAUCUAUCAAAAAUUCCAAGAAACUUUAUUUAAUAGAGUUCAGCAAGGACACAGAAUCCAAGAUCAACACACAAACACCUAUCCUAUUUCUGCAAUAAUCCUAUGAAAACAAGAAAUAAAGACAGUACCAUCCUAUUUCUGCAUGCUACCAAUAAUCCUAUGAAAACAAGAAAUACACAGUACCAUUCUAUUUCUACAUGCUAGCAAUAAUCAAAUAAAAACAUGAAAUAAAGACAGUACCAUUUAUAGGUGCUCCAAAUAAAAAUAAAUGCUUAGGUUCAUAUGGAACAAAACUAGAAAAACCUAUACACAUUUUAGGAAAAAACAGGAGAAAAUCUUUAGGACCUAGGGCCAAGAGUUGUCAGACAUGGCAACAAAAGCACAAUCCAUAAAAGAAAAAACUGAUAAACGACCUCGACAAAAUUAAAAACUUUUGCUCUUUGAAAGACCUAGUUUAAAGAGUGAAAAGACAAACUGCAGACAGGGAAAAAUAUCUGCAAAUCACAAGUCAGAUAGCAGGCUUGUAUGUAGAAGAAAGAAGUAUCAAACAACAAACAUUAAUUAGAAAAUAAGAGAAAACACACAGACAUUCAGAAGAGGUGCACGUGGUGAACAAGCCAUGAAGGCACUCGACAUCCUAAGCCGUUAGGGAAACACAACUUAAAGCCGCAAUGAGAUAUUACUGCACACCAAUCGGAACAGCUAAAAUACAAAAUACUCAAGGAUGCUGGAGAGGAUGUAGAAAAGCUGGAACUCUCUCGCUUGCUGUGGGAACGCAAAGUGGUGUUGCUGCUCUGGAGAACAGCAAGGCAGCCUUACGAACCUAAGUGUGCGCUUGCUGCCCCACUCAACAACUGCACCCCAGGACAUUUAUCUGAGAAAAUGGAACCUCAUGUGAACACAAAGACCUGUUUGCGAAUGUUCACAGAACUUUCACUGAUAAUAGACAAUGGGGAAAACCCUUCAACAGGUGUCCCAGCGGUGUCCUCGAAACUGGGUUUCAUUCACAUCACGGCAUCCCCUCAGCAGUAAAAGGGAUGGCUAUGGAUACACCCAAGCGUAUGGGUGAAUCUGCAGAGGCCCCUGCUGAGUGAGUGGACACACCCAGGCGUACGGGUGAAUCUGCAGAGGCCCCUGCUGAGUGAGUGGACACACCCAGGAGCACGGGCGAAAUCAGCGGAGGCCCCUGCUGAGUGAGUGGACACACCCAGGAGCACGGGCGAAAUCAGUGGAGGCCCCUGCUGAGUGAGUGGACAUACCCAGGAGCACGGGCGAAAUCAGCGGAGGCCCCUGCUGAGUGAGUGGACACACCCAGGCGCACGGGCGAAUCAGCGGAGGCCCCUGCUGAGUGAGUGGACAUACCCAGGAGCACGGGCGAAAUCAGUGGAGGCCCCUGCUGAGUGAGUGGACAUACCCAGGAGCACGGGCGAAAUCAGUGGAGGCCCCUGCUGAGUGAGUGGACAUACCCAGGAGCACGGGCGAAAUCAGUGGAGGCCCCUGCUGAGUGAGUGGACAUACCCAGGCGCACGGGCGAAUCUGCAGAGGCCCCUGGUGAGUGAGUGGACGCACCCAGGAGCACGGGCGAAUCAGCGGAGGCCCCUGCUGAGUGAGUGCACAAAGCCCACCUCUUAGGUCACUCCCUGUGGACUCUACUCCCACGGCUUCCUCCAGGACAAAACCACCAACCUCGGGGAAACAGGCGGGGACUCCGUGAGGAGGGCUCAUGUCUGUCGGUGGCUGUCGAGGAGGCUCUAGGACCAGGUAUCCAGGAUAAGACGGGGGAUCUGAAUCAAGUCUGCAGGGCGGUCACCCUGUCUUCCAAUGUCAUGUUCCCGGCCACUGGGCGAAGGUGGGGAAGGGCACAAGGGAUGCUGCUAUUUUUGCAACUUCCUGUGAGUCUAUAAUGAUUUCACAGAAAAAAGGAAAAAAAAGGGAGAAAAAACACAAGGGGUGUAAGGAGACUCCCAUGGGUGAUGAAUAGUCUAUACUUUUAGGUGAUGGUGUUUCCCCAACGGUAUACGUUUCCCAAAACCCACUGAGCUGUAAAUUUAAAAUGAGUGAAUUUUAUGUCAAUUGUAAUUCAAUAAAGCUGUUAAAAAAUUAACUAGAAACAGAAAAAAAUUUUAAUUCCCAUAGAAAGAAGGAAUAAAGUAAAAAAACAGUAUGAGGUAGGAGGUAAGCUUCCUUUCAUAAACCUUGUUUUGUGUAUUUGGCUUUGGAAUCAUGCAUUUUACAUCAUUUAAAACAUUAAAUAUAAAAUGAGACUGGGUGCAGUGAAUCCCAGCAGUCUGGGAGGCCCAGGCAGGCAGAUCACUUGAGGUCAGGAGUUCGAAACCAGCCUGGCCAACAUGGUGAAACUCUCUACUGAAAAUACAAAAAAUUAGCCGGGCAUGGUGGUGCGUGCCUGUAAUCCCAGCUACUUGGGAGGCUGAGGCACUGGGAGGCAGAGGCUGCCGUGAGCAGAGAUC
Molecule: long non-coding RNA, 7934 nt
Filed under: Homo sapiens (human)
Lineage: Eukaryota; Metazoa; Chordata; Mammalia; Primates; Hominidae
Description: non-protein coding lnc-ZNF778-2:5
Source: RNAcentral